GAGCGAGAAAAGGGGGGCAACUACCCUGAGUAAAGCGGCGCACGGGUGAGUAACACGUGGGUAAUCUGCCCUGGAGUGGGGAAUAACACCGGGAAACCGGUGCUAAUACCGCAUACGAUCACGAGGUCUGCGGAUUUUGUGAUGAAAGGAGCAAUUCGCUCUAGGAGGAGCCCGCGGCUGAUUAGCUAGUUGGUGAGGUAAUGGCUCACCAAGGCUACGAUCAGUAUCCGGUCUGAGAGGACGGUCGGACACACUGGAACUGAGACACGGUCCAGACUCCUACGGGAGGCAGCAGUGGGGAAUUUUUCGCAAUGGGGGCAACCCUGACGAAGCAACGCCGCGUGGGUGAUGAAGUCUCUUGGGACGUAAAACCCUUUCGACGGGGAAGAAACCGCAAGGUUGACGGUAUCCGUAGAAGAAGCCCCGUCUAACUCCGUG
Molecule: ribosomal RNA, 438 nt
Filed under: uncultured bacterium
Lineage: Bacteria
Description: bacterial SSU rRNA
Rfam family: Bacterial small subunit ribosomal RNA
Source: RNAcentral